Molecule: ribosomal RNA, 775 nt
Filed under: uncultured Neocallimastigales
Lineage: Eukaryota; Fungi; Neocallimastigomycota; Neocallimastigomycetes; Neocallimastigales
Description: partial large subunit ribosomal RNA
Rfam family: Eukaryotic large subunit ribosomal RNA
Source: RNAcentral
CGUCUAUAUACGUAUAGCAUAUCAAUAAGCGGAGGAAAAGAAACUAACAAGGAUUCCCCUAGUAACGGCGAGUGAAGCGGGAAGAGCUCAAAUUUGAAAUCUUCAAGGGUUUCCCUUGACGAAUUGUAGUUUAAAGAAGUGUUUUCUGUUAGAGAGGUGGUAAAAGUUCUUUGGAAUAGGACAUCAUAGAGGGUGAGAAUCCCGUAUUUGAUCACUUUCUACUAACGUUGUGAUACACUUUCAAAGAGUCGGAUUGUUUGGGAAUGCAGUCCAAAAUGGGUGGUAAAUUUCAUCUAAAGCUAAAUAUUGGCGAGAGACCGAUAGCGAACAAGUACCGUGAGGGAAAGAUGAAAAGAACUUUGAAAAGAGAGUUAAACAGUACGUGAAAUUGUCAAAAGGGAAGCGUUUGACACCAGUGUUGUUUUUCCGAAAAUCAAUUAAGAAUGGCCGGAUUUUAAGUUUCAUGACCUUAAAAGCUUGUUUCUUAUUUUUCUUGUCUUUCUUAAUGCACUUUUCGGCUAACAAGUCAACAUCAAUUUCUUUUGUUGUAAAAGGUUAAGAGGAAGGUGGCUUUACUUUCGGGUAAAGUGUUUAUAGCCUUUUAACUCUGCAAUCGGAGAGAUUGAGGUCUGCAGCGUAGAUCCUUCGGGGCUAGAUACGUUUGUGCUAAGUUAUAGCUUUUCAUAGACAACUUGUUGACUAUGUUUAGUCUUGUAGCUUACUCGCUUAUGGCUAUUUUACCUACGCUUAGGAUGUUGAUAUGCAUGACUGAUAU